AAAAGUAGAGGACAAUUGUUGCAACAAUUGGUAUCACAAAGAACUAAUAUUAUAGAAAGAAUGAUCAUAACUUUAGAUGAGCUUGAGAAGGCAACAAACAAAUUUGAUAAUGCUCGUGAGCUUGGUGGUGGGGGGCAUGGCACAAUCUACAAAGGGAUCCUAUCAGAUCUCCAUGUUGUAGCAAUCAAGAAACCAAAGACAGCAGUUCAAAAGGAGAUUGAUGAAUUCAUUAAUGAGGUGGCUAUCCUAUCACAGAUCAAUCAUAGAAAUGUGGUAAAACUCUAUGGUUGUUGCCUUGAAACAGAGGUCCCGCUGUUGGUCUACAAGUUUAUAUCCAACGGUACCCUUUGUGAUCAUCUCCAUGUUGACGGACCAAGUUCAUUGUCAUGGAAUGAUAGGCUACGGAUAGCAACUGAGACUGCCAGGUCUUUAGCCUAUCUUCACUCAACAGCUUUAGUACCCAUCAUCCAUAGAGAUAUCAAGUCUGUUAACAUACUUUUGGUUGAUACUCUAACAGCAAAAGUCGCAGACUUUGGAGCUUCAAGAUAUGUUCCGGUGGAUAGAUUAGGAGUCACAACAAGAGUGCAAGGUACAAGAGGAUAUCUAGACCCCAUGUAUUUCUAUACAGGGCGGCUCACGGAAAAAAGUGAUGUGUACAGCUGUGGUUUCCUUCUUCUGGAGUUGUUGACUAGAAAGAAACCAUUUUCAUUCAUCUCUUCGGAAGAUGAAGGCCUCGUUACACAUUAUUAA
Molecule: ribosomal RNA, 750 nt
Filed under: Triticum aestivum (bread wheat)
Lineage: Eukaryota; Viridiplantae; Streptophyta; Magnoliopsida; Poales; Poaceae
Description: partial small subunit ribosomal RNA
Source: RNAcentral